GUAGCGGCGAGCGAAACGGGAAGAGCCCAAACCAACAAGCUUGCUUGUUGGGGUUGUAGGACUCCGAUAUGGUAGUCUGUCAAGAUAGUCGAAGGACUUGGAAAAGUCCGCUAAAGAGGGUAAAAGCCCCGUAGACGAAAUGUUGGCAACACCUAGGAGGAUCCUGAGUACGGCGGAACACGAGAAAUUCCGUCGGAAUCCGCGGGGACCAUCCCGCAAGGCUAAAUACCCCCUAGUGACCGAUAGUGAACCAGUACCGUGAGGGAAAGGUGAAAAGCACCCCGGAAGGGGAGUGAAAUAGAUCCUGAAACCGUGUGCCUACAACAAGUCAAAGCCCGUUAAUGGGUGAUGGCGUGCCUUUUGUAGAAUGAACCGGCGAGUUACGAUUGCUUGCGAGGUUAAGUUGAAGAGACGGAGCCGCAGCGAAAGCGAGUCUGAAUAGGGCGCAUGAGUAAGUAGUCGUAGACCCGAAACCAUGUGAUCUACCCAUGUCCAGGUUGAAGGUGUGGUAAAACGCACUGGAGGACCGAACCCACGUACGUUGAAAGGUGCGGGGAUGAGGUGUGGGUAGCGGAGAAAUUCCAAACGAACUUGGAGAUAGC
This 602-nucleotide ribosomal RNA is filed under the name uncultured Enterococcus sp. Its description in RNAcentral is "bacterial LSU rRNA". It matches the Rfam family "Bacterial large subunit ribosomal RNA", at positions 243 to 849 of the family's 2925-position model. Lineage: Bacteria; Bacillati; Bacillota; Bacilli; Lactobacillales; Enterococcaceae. The record is from RNAcentral.